GGGUGUCGGUAUAGGAAGCAACGGUGAGCACAUCACCGGUGGUGGAGGUGCAGUGGCAUUCGGCUGAUUGUAGAGAACAGGACCGGACGCAUAACUGGUUGGAGUCAUAGUGGGUACUAGGGAUGGCAACGGCAUAGGUGGUAUCAUAGAUGAUGGCGGCGUUGGACCCGUUUGAUGAACAUACGGAGACGGUGGUGGUGGUGGCUGUGAUGGUGGUGGCUGCGUCGGUGGUCGAGGCUCCGCUUCUUGAUUAAAUGUAGGGUUGAGUAAUGUUGUCUCGCUAGUUCGUUGAUGAAGGGUGAACGCUUCCUCACACGCUUUUCCAAUGAUCUGCUACGUGUGCGCGAGCGACUCCGGCGACGGGGGCUGUAUCGUCUGCUUACUGGCGAACGGCUCAAUCGUCUUCUUGAACGUUCCGUACUGCGACUCCUUCGAUCACGAGAUCGGGUUCUCCGGCUUAACCAAGAUAAUCACUAAGCUAUAGUCUAGUAUACAUUUUUAUAUCGUAUAUAUGCAUUUGUACAAUACAGUAGAAAUAUAAAAUAUAAAAUACAAGGUUUGAAAAUUUGUAUCUAUCGCAAAUAACUAAUUUUAUAUAAUUACAACAUAUUUGUACACAAAAUAAUAUUUGUGAUUUUAUUGUGCACACAGUAUAAAAAAAUAAAUUUUUUUAACUGCA
Monomorium pharaonis (pharaoh ant) is the source of this 679-nucleotide long non-coding RNA. RefSeq lists it as uncharacterized. Lineage: Eukaryota; Metazoa; Arthropoda; Insecta; Hymenoptera; Formicidae. The transcript has 3 exons. The record is from RefSeq and is a predicted model, not a curated record.